RNAcentral lists this ribosomal RNA (873 nucleotides) under uncultured marine bacterium. RNAcentral describes it as "bacterial SSU rRNA". It matches the Rfam family "Bacterial small subunit ribosomal RNA", at positions 28 to 896 of the family's 1533-position model. The record is from RNAcentral.
AUUGAACGCUGGCGGUAGGCUUAACACAUGCAAGUCGUGCGAGAAAGUAUCUUCGGAUAUGAGUAGAGCGGCGGACGGGUGAGUAACGCGUAGGAAUCUACCUAGUAGAAGGGGAUAGCCCGGGGAAACCCGGAUUAAUACCGUAUACCUCCUUCGGGAGAAAGAAGGCCUCUCUUUGAAGCUUUCGCUAUUAGAUGAGCCUGCGUAAGAUUAGCUUGUUGGUGAGGUAAAGGCUCACCAAGGCGACGAUCUUUAGCUGGUCUGAGAGGACGAUCAGCCACAUUGGGACUGAGACACGGCCCAGACUCCUACGGGAGGCAGCAGUGGGGAAUAUUGGACAAUGGGCGCAAGCCUGAUCCAGCCAUACCGCGUGUGUGAAGAAGGCCUUCGGGUUGUAAAGCACUUUAAGCAGGGAGAAAAAGUUAUAAGUUAAUACCUUAUAACCUUGAUGUUACCUGCAGAAUAAGCACCGGCUAAUUCCGUGCCAGCAGCCGCGGUAAUACGGAAGGUGCAAGCGUUAAUCGGAAUUACUGGGCGUAAAGCGCGCGUAGGUGGUUUGUUAAGUUGGAUGUGAAAGCCCUGGGCUCAACCUAGGAACUGCAUCCAAAACUAACUCACUAGAGUACGAUAGAGGGAGGUAGAAUUCAUAGUGUAGCGGUGGAAUGCGUAGAUAUUAUGAAGAAUACCAGUGGCGAAGGCGGCCUCCUGGAUCUGUACUGACACUGAGGUGCGAAAGCGUGGGUAGCGAACAGGAUUAGAUACCCUGGUAGUCCACGCCGUAAACGAUGACAACUAGCUGUUGGAAGACAAAGUCUUUCAGUGGCGCAGCUAACGUUUUAAGUUGUCCGCCUGGGGAGUACGGCCGCAAGGCUA